This 72-nucleotide transfer RNA is filed under the name Camelus bactrianus (Bactrian camel). It matches the Rfam family "tRNA". From Rfam's summary of the family: Transfer RNA (tRNA) molecules are approximately 80 nucleotides in length. Their secondary structure includes four short double-helical elements and three loops (D, anti-codon, and T loops). Lineage: Eukaryota; Metazoa; Chordata; Mammalia; Artiodactyla; Camelidae. The record is from Rfam by way of RNAcentral. RNAcentral also lists the same sequence under 2 other names.
GUGGGUAUAGCUCAGUGGUAGAGUGCAUGCUUAGCAUGCGGAAGGUCCCAGGUUCAAUCCCCAGUACCUCCA